This is a long non-coding RNA of Meriones unguiculatus (Mongolian gerbil), 3273 nucleotides long. RefSeq lists it as uncharacterized. The record is from RefSeq and is a predicted model, not a curated record. NCBI's taxonomy places the organism in Eukaryota, Metazoa, Chordata, Mammalia, Rodentia, Muridae. The transcript has 5 exons.
AGGAGCAGACGUUUAUUUAUUAUCUAUCAUUAGCUUAUAAAUAAUUUUAUGUUUAGCCCAUAUAAUAAGAAUUUGAGGCGAAUUUAAAUGUGGGCUAAGAGCUUCAAGGGACUACUUUUAAUUCUGUGCUUGACAAUUCUUAUUCUUUCUGUGGGAUGAUCUUUGUUCGAGGCCAUCAGUGUGGGACAGGGGCAUGACUGCCAAGCAAGACAACCUCUUACAGCUUACAGUGUUGGUUCAGAAGUAACUAUAGAUCCUUAAAGCACUUAGGGUAUUUAAUGCAAAUGAAUAUUUGCUCAGAUUUCCAACACAAAGAUUAAAACAGAUACAAAUAAAUAAGCUUUCUAAGUGUCAGUGGAUACUAGCUUGAAAACAGCUAUAAGCAAUCUUAGAUGGAAGGUAACAUCUUGUUAGUUGAGAGUAAUUAUGUAACAGUAUCAGAACUUAGUUGAAGAAAAGGUCAUGUACUCCUAAACUGUGUACUCCGCCUGAAUGAUUGUUGGAUUUCCCCUGUUGUGGGCAUGAGCAUUGUUGGAUAUGGCACAGGAAACUCUGGGCCCACAGAAGACACACCAUCAGAAGAAAACUUACUUGAGAGAGCUAACAGAAAGAUAAACUUCUGAACAUGGUAUGGGGAAUGGGUGCUUUCUCCUUCAGAUUAAGAAAUUUACAUCUUUCUAUCAAUAGGCCUGUUCCUGAGCUUUGAAAGAAUUCUCCCAGCCCAGGAGAUGGGAUUGUGUGAGCAGGAAAUAGGAAAUGAGUGCCAAGAGGCUCUCUGAAAGACACAAGACUCCCUGAGGUCAGGAUAUAAGGGGACUGGAAGGACAGCCUUGGUUGUUGAGUCCAGUCUGUGGUUCUGUUUGGGAGGUGGUAUGACAGCCACUGGGAAGGAGUGAGAAAACACAGUGAUCAUCCUUUGAUGCUCUUUCGAAGAUGUGCAAGGAUUCAAAACUGACUGUGGAUGUCAGCCACAUAUGGUCCCUGUGACACAGCCACAGAUCUGAGUGCAAGGAGAGUAGGGUGUAAAGAUUAGGUGUAUACGAAGAAUGGGCUGUAGGAAGAGAGACUGAGCUCAGCUCUUCCUAGACAAGGAAACUGUAGAUUGUGGGAGAAGACACAAGAGGAAAGUGAUGAAUCCUGUAGAUUGUUAAAUCACGUGUGGUAACUAAUUCAGAGACAAAAAGAAGAAACAGAUUAAUGGGGAAGCUUUCUUCCUUAAGAGAUUUAAAUGUGUUGUUCUCCGGAAAAUAGUGUGAUAUGUAGUCUUCAUUAAUAGAAGUUUCUAGUAAAACUCCACAAUGGAAUUUCCACUGUUUGCUCACUCCCCUGCUAUGGCAAAGCAACCUUUUAUAGUAUAGUCAAAAUUUUAUUGUAUUUUCAAGGAACCUAGAAAAGCGAGGUUUCAGUAAAGAUAGCUACAAAGAAUCGGGAAAACGAUUCCAAUAGUUGUUACUAGGUGCAAGGUAUUCGCCUAUCAGAAGCUACCUAGAACAUGUGCUGGGAAAUCAGUGAACUGCACCCUGGGAUACUGUUGCUUCAGCCAGUUGGAUCUAUGAGCAGUAGGUCCAAUCAGAAAUUUGGAAAAAAAAAAAAAAAAAAAAGAGGGUGAUGAUGAAAAAAGCAAUUUAAAAUAUGUAGGAAUUGCUCCCUGCUUUUCUCUUUUCUUCCCCUCCUCCCACUUUCUCCUUCCUUCCAGGUCUUGCUGUAUUGUCCAGGCCAGUCUCAGGAUCCUGGGCUCCAGAAAUGCUUCUGCCUUUAUUUAUUGAGUAGCUGUCACUUUUCAAAGUACAAGCUACCCAGUCUUGGAAACUUUUAUGCCUGAGUUUUAGGUACCUACAUUAAGAAGAUGUAAUAGCAUCUAAUUACAGGCUUCUGAAGAUAGAGGAAAGAAUUUCAAAUUAUUGAAAACAUUUGCUCCUAUGUAAAAGUAGAAGGCAGGCUAGACUAGAAUGUAAACAAAAGGAUGUAAACUAAUGUUAGAAUUAUGCUUAUAGGAUUAUUUUUAAAUUUCACAGAAUUCAGGUAAUUCUAUUACUAGAAAGAUAUAAAAAAGAGGAAUUCACUAUUGGGCAAAAUAAAGAAAAAAUAUGUGUUCAAUUUUAAAAUUAUUAUUUUUAUUUGUGUGUGUGUGUACCUAUGUGAGUUUAUGUGCAUAUAGUAUGUACAGGUUCCUGUGGAGGCCAGAGGACUUUCUAUUUCCUGGAACUGGAGCUGAAGGCUCGGAACUGAACCCAGGUCCUUUACAAGAGCAAUGAUCUUUUCCCAACAAUCUAUACUCCUAAAGAAGCUACACAACAAGGAAGACCCUAGGGAAGAUGCUCAAUCCUCAUUCAAAAGGGCAAACACAAUAAGCAGGAGAAGACAGGGGAAUAGGACAGCAGCCUACCACAGACAGCCUGUGAAAGACUCCACUAAUUGAGGCCUUGUACAAACUUUUCCAAAAAAUUCUUUACGGCCUCCCAGGGAUAAAUACUGUUUGAUUCAUCGCACACAACCACAACGUCUACAAGUGAAGGGCAAGCUGCACAGGAAGAGAUGAAAGAGAACACAAUUUCCAAAGUGCCUUCAGCAGCAAGCACACAGCACCAGCUCUUUGCUAAUCUCCAUGAGAAGAAGCGAGAGAUACCUGCUGCUUCCUGCCCCACUGAGCACCUUGAUGGGCAGCUCCCUCGCCUGCUUUUACCUCUUCUGAGGAUUCUGGAUUGGUUAACCUUGAAAUUGCAGAGGGGUUAAGAUGUCACCACCACCAUUGAUACGGAGACUGUUGUGGCUCUCCUAAGGCACCACUGUUCCUUUUUACUGAGAAAACAAAAUGCCGAAGAAAAUCACAACAAAUUAAGCCGAACACUGAAACUGGCAUUCAGAAUGCUGUUGUUUCUGAUAAGUACUUCGUCUUCACCCCGCUAGGCAGAACUUAGCAAAUGCUGUUUGAAUGUUAGUCAGUUUUUAAAUAGAUCAGUUAAAGCUUGAGGACGUGAUGUCAAGCUCUUCUCAUUUUAAACAUGUCUACCGCUGGAAAGAAUGUAUGUAGCUGGACACGCAAUAAUGCAACUGUGUCCUACUAUUAAACUAAACUUUAACAAAUCAUGUACUAGGAAAAAGAAUCAGGAUGGAGUUCAUUUUGUUACUUAGUGUUAAAUUUUAUGAAAUAUUGUGUGUAUAAGCAGCUUUAUUUUACUUAAUGACAAGUGUAUGUUUUAAGAAAUGUGUUGUUCUGUGAUUUUGUUACUAUGCAAUCAAAAAUUCAAAUAAACAUGCAAGAUCACUAUUACA